RNAcentral lists this ribosomal RNA (504 nucleotides) under uncultured eukaryote. Its description in RNAcentral is "eukaryotic LSU rRNA". It matches the Rfam family "Eukaryotic large subunit ribosomal RNA", at positions 386 to 906 of the family's 3401-position model. The record is from RNAcentral.
GUUGAAAAGGAGCAGUAAAAGAGAAAUUAUAGCCUACGAAUUAACCUACUAGACUAAACUUAGGGGUGGAGGAUACUUCAUAGGGUCCCUUGCCUUAGAGUGAAAACUAGUAGGGUUUUCGUAGGUGAAAGACAAAAUGACUUUCUCCUGUAAUAAUAAAGCUGAAGCAGAUUGCCCAAGCCCCAAAUUACAGGAGAGAGUGAGGGAUUCUUAAUGAUUUUGUCAAAAUGGCUUUUACUGACCCGUCUUGUAACACGGACCAAGGAGUCUACUCAUUAUGCGAGUGUUAGGGUGGAAAAACCCAAAACGCGUACCGAAAGGGAUGCAAGAUGUGAAGCGUAAGCCGCAACAUCAACCAACCCUUGAUUCUCCGAUGAAGGGCGUUGAGUAAGAGCAUAAUUGGUAGGGACCCCGAAAGAAUGGUGAACUACGGUUGAGUAGGGUGAAGCCAGGGGGAAACUCUGGUGGAGGCUCGAAGAGUUACUGACGUGCAAAUCGUUCUUC